GAAUAAAAAAAAAUUAAAGCUUCUAACUUUAAAAUUAAUAUUUAAAUAAUAUUAUUAUUUCA
Molecule: transfer RNA, 62 nt
Filed under: Anterhynchium aff. flavomarginatum HB
Lineage: Eukaryota; Metazoa; Arthropoda; Insecta; Hymenoptera; Vespidae
Description: tRNA-Ser
Source: RNAcentral